AGACUACAAACUACAUCAUUUUC
This 23-nucleotide microRNA is filed under the name Caenorhabditis elegans. RNAcentral's name for it is "cel-miR-2218b-5p". Lineage: Eukaryota; Metazoa; Nematoda; Chromadorea; Rhabditida; Rhabditidae. The record is from miRBase by way of RNAcentral.